Molecule: long non-coding RNA, 311 nt
Filed under: Hordeum vulgare
Lineage: Eukaryota; Viridiplantae; Streptophyta; Magnoliopsida; Poales; Poaceae
Description: long non-coding RNA (HVUL_LNC013588)
Source: RNAcentral
CUUCCACUACCGAGCAUGAAGCAGGCUCGCGGCGCGAGACGGCGGAGGCCUGUUCUUCAACCAACUAAGACCAUCCACAGACCCCUUAAAAAGGGUUUAAAAGGCCUUUCAAACGGACAUAAAGUAUGUGAUCUCGAGCUCGAGUGAUCCGAGAUAAACAUUAGAAUUUGAAAAAAUAGUAAACACUUUUCUUUUACAAGAAACAUCAAUGGAAAGUGCUACGCGUCUGCCAGCUGGUCGCAAGCCGUCAGAUCGUGUGUCAUUGCGCGGCCGAGCGGAGUUUUUUAUUUUUAUAACAGAAGUAAUGUUAC